RNAcentral lists this ribosomal RNA (424 nucleotides) under uncultured Clostridium sp. RNAcentral describes it as "bacterial SSU rRNA". It matches the Rfam family "Bacterial small subunit ribosomal RNA", at positions 338 to 755 of the family's 1533-position model. The record is from RNAcentral. Lineage: Bacteria; Bacillati; Bacillota; Clostridia; Eubacteriales; Clostridiaceae.
CCUACGGGAGGCAGCAGUAGGGAAUUUUCGUCAAUGGGCGCAAGCCUGAACGAGCAAUGCCGCGUGGGUGAAGAAGGUCUUCGGAUCGUAAAGCUCUGUUGCGAGGGAAAAAGGAAGAGAAGAGGGAAUGAUUCUCUUUUGAUGGUACCUCGCCAGAAAGUCACGGCUAACUACGUGCCAGCAGCCGCGGUAAUACGUAGGUGGCGAGCGUUAUCCGGAAUGAUUGGGCGUAAAGGGUGCGCAGGCGGCAUAUCAAGUCUGAAGUGAAAGGUACGGGCUCAACCUGUACAGGCUUUGGAAACUGGUAUGCUCGAGGACAGGAGAGGGCGGUGGAACUCCACGUGUAGCGGUAAAAUGCGUAGAGAUGUGGAAGAACACCAGUGGCGAAGGCGGCCGCCUGGCCUGUAACUGACGCUCAGGCACG